GUUUGGAUUCCCGCUCACGGCCACCGUCAGUGGCGAGCGGAAGCUUCUGAAGCGGCGGCUCGCUGGGCCUCCUCUACGUCGACUCAGCCUGAAGGCGGGUGUCUCAGAUUGCCAGCACCAUGUGAUGGGAGCUCCAGGGCAUGCUGUGUGCUCGCCAGGAGGGGCUGGGCAAGAUGGCGUAGUCGCUGGAGCAGCUGCGGGCGCGGCACCGCCACUCUCACCCUGGCGGAGUGCAGCAACACAGUGGGGCGGCACCAGCGGGACACUCUGGACAACGCAGCCAAGCUGUUGCCCCGCUCGCCCGACUCGUUGAGAGGCUUGCCCACCCCCCAGGGCGUUGUCGUGAAGAUACCGCUGGGAGGAAGAAUAUCUCACAAUACUGGAAGAGGCGGUGGUGUUGCAAGCCUGUAAUCCAGCAGUGGAAGGCAGCAAGGG
Long non-coding RNA from Lethenteron reissneri (Far Eastern brook lamprey), 435 nucleotides. RefSeq lists it as uncharacterized. The record is from RefSeq and is a predicted model, not a curated record. Lineage: Eukaryota; Metazoa; Chordata; Hyperoartia; Petromyzontiformes; Petromyzontidae.